GCCUACGGGAGGCAGCAGUAGGGAAUCUUCGGCAAUGGACGGAAGUCUGACCGAGCAACGCCGCGUGAGUGAAGAAGGUUUUCGGAUCGUAAAGCUCUGUUGUAAGAGAAGAACGAGUGUGAGAGUGGAAAGUUCACACUGUGACGGUAUCUUACCAGAAAGGGACGGCUAACUACGUGCCAGCAGCCGCG
Molecule: ribosomal RNA, 191 nt
Filed under: uncultured Streptococcus sp.
Lineage: Bacteria; Bacillati; Bacillota; Bacilli; Lactobacillales; Streptococcaceae
Description: partial 16S ribosomal RNA
Rfam family: Bacterial small subunit ribosomal RNA
Source: RNAcentral